RNAcentral lists this ribosomal RNA (392 nucleotides) under uncultured ammonia-oxidizing bacterium. RNAcentral describes it as "bacterial SSU rRNA". It matches the Rfam family "Bacterial small subunit ribosomal RNA", at positions 223 to 607 of the family's 1533-position model. The record is from RNAcentral.
GGAGUGGCCGAUGCCUGAUUAGCUAGUUGGUGGGGUAAUGGCCUACCAAGGCGACGAUCAGUAGUUGGUCUGAGAGGACGACCAGCCACACUGGGACUGAGACACGGCCCAGACUCCUACGGGAGGCAGCAGUGGGGAAUUUUGGACAAUGGGCGAAAGCCUGAUCCAGCAAUGCCGCGUGAGUGAAGAAGGCCUUCGGGUUGUAAAGCUCUUUCAGUCGAGAAGAAAAGGUUGUGACUAAUAAUCACAACUCAUGACGGUAUCGACAGAAGAAGCACCGGCUAACUACGUGCCAGCAGCCGCGGUAAUACGUAGGGUGCGAGCGUUAAUCGGAAUUACUGGGCGUAAAGGGUGCGCAGGCGGCUUUGUAAGUCAGAUGUGAAUGCCCCGGG